This 538-nucleotide long non-coding RNA is filed under the name Homo sapiens (human). RNAcentral describes it as "HSALNT0135387". Lineage: Eukaryota; Metazoa; Chordata; Mammalia; Primates; Hominidae. The record is from RNAcentral.
CGCCCUGUGCAUGCAAAUCAAGGAACUGACUUGAGAUGACUUUCAGAGCUCUGUCUCUUGUGUUUCUUUGGCCUGGAAGAAACAACGCCUAAGUUUUGAGCUGCAUGAAGCUGCCUGACAUCUAAGGAUCUCUGAAGAGAACUGGGACCUGAAACCCAUCUGAAAUGUAUCUGCAGACAGGUCAAGUUCAUCGAGAGUCACCUCCUGCCUGACACUCCAGUCAUUAAUUCCAGAUAGGGGAUUUAGCCUGGAAAGAAUAUAUGACUGCCAGUUACUAAGUGAGCCAGACAUCAAGCCUAGUGCCACGUGUCUCUUCUUUAAAGCAUGAUAGGUCACCAACUGAAGAGGAAAUUGGUGAGCAUCAACUUUCUCAGCAUGGUGAGAGAACAUUGAUGGCUGGUUCAUGCUAAAUGUCCAGAGGAAAGAAAAGGACAGAAAACUUUCUGUGCUACUCAAGAAUGAGAUCUCAAAUGAAAAGGAGCAACGCUGUGAACUUUGCCUGGAAAGAAACAUUCCUCCACAGCCCUGCUGGUUUCAG